RNAcentral lists this ribosomal RNA (252 nucleotides) under uncultured bacterium. RNAcentral's name for it is "partial 16S ribosomal RNA". It matches the Rfam family "Bacterial small subunit ribosomal RNA", at positions 524 to 776 of the family's 1533-position model. The record is from RNAcentral.
UACGAGGGGGCGAGCGUUGUUCGGAAUUAUUGGGCGUAAAGGGUGCGUAGGCGGUUUGGUAAGUCUGAUGUGAAAUCUAUGGGCUCAACUCAUAGUCUGCAUCGGAAACUGCCGGGCUUGAGUGUGGGAGAGGUGAGUGGAAUUCCUGGUGUAGCGGUGAAAUGCGUAGAUAUCAGGAGGAACACCUGUGGCGAAAGCGGCUCACUGGACCAUAACUGACGCUGAGGCGCGAAAGCUAGGGGAGCAAACAGG